Molecule: non-coding RNA, 28 nt
Filed under: Rattus norvegicus (Norway rat)
Lineage: Eukaryota; Metazoa; Chordata; Mammalia; Rodentia; Muridae
Source: RNAcentral
CUGAAAACAUCUAUCCAGCAUAAUUCAG